Small nuclear RNA from Microtus ochrogaster (prairie vole), 159 nucleotides. Its record names the gene U1. It matches the Rfam family "U1 spliceosomal RNA". Rfam says of the family: U1 is a small nuclear RNA (snRNA) component of the spliceosome (involved in pre-mRNA splicing). Its 5' end forms complementary base pairs with the 5' splice junction, thus defining the 5' donor site of an intron. NCBI's taxonomy places the organism in Eukaryota, Metazoa, Chordata, Mammalia, Rodentia, Cricetidae. The record is from Ensembl.
AUACUUACCUGGCAGGGGAGAUCCCAUGAUCACCAAGGUAGUUUUCCCAGGGCAAGGCUUAUCCAUAACACUUGGUGCGUGCUGACUCCUACAUUUCCCCAAAUGCAGAAACUAGAGUGCAUAACUUGUAGUAGUGGACUGUGUUUGUGCUCUCCCCUA